ACCAUGUGCCCAAACGUUGGUGCCUGUGUAAACAGGUGAAAAGGGAAUGUGCAGCCGCGUUUUGCGAGGUCAAGCACAGCCGCCCCCGCGACCGUGAACAAAAAGGGCGCGAUCCGCCACUGGCCAAAGGCUGGGAAGGCACGCGACCGAAGGGGAGCCUCCCCGAGAUUUGUAAGCCGGGAGACCUGCCAACCCACGACUUUGAGA
RNAcentral lists this non-coding RNA (207 nucleotides) under Tropicibacter naphthalenivorans. The record is from RNAcentral. Lineage: Bacteria; Pseudomonadati; Pseudomonadota; Alphaproteobacteria; Rhodobacterales; Roseobacteraceae.